Molecule: long non-coding RNA, 812 nt
Organism: Pollicipes pollicipes
Lineage: Eukaryota; Metazoa; Arthropoda; Thecostraca; Pollicipedomorpha; Pollicipedidae
Exons: 3
Source: RefSeq, a predicted model, not a curated record
CGACAGAUGGCAGAAGCCCUAGCGGAUCAUUUACAAAAUAAGAGUGGGACUGGCUGCGUUCUAAAUACCAUGGCAUAGAAUUGAAGUUUACAUAAUAAUAUUUUGUUAAUUAAAAUUUCACACAAGUUUUCGAGGCAUAUUCUUUUGUUACAAGUUGCAUUUUAUUUUUACUACCGGGCUCUGUAAAAUAAUGUAAGAGACUGAGACAAUUUUAUGCAUAACUGCGGACUGGUGGCGCGUCGACGUUGGUGUUCGGGAUGUGGUGCGGAUGCUACUCUGACGUGUGUGGUUUGAUGUAAUUAUGUGUAGUUUAGGGGGAGGUCAGGUGCUAAAAACAUUGUUCAAGUGUCUGCCUUUGUUUUAAAACAUGGAUAGCUGGGCCUGGGCAAACGCUAGUCAGGCAUUGGCAAACCAUGCCCAAGCGGGAGCAGUGCCAACGGCAAAUUCUACACCUCAGGCUGGCUUGGAGAACUGGGCCAACACCGGAGUGGGCUAUGGAAGCUUCGGAGCGAUGGCUAGCCAGUUUGGUGUGGCUGGAUGGAACCCCUACCAGCAAGGAGUUGUGAUGGGAGGUACCCAGGGAUUUGUGCCUGGCCAGCAGCUGUGGAACGGGCAACAACAGCAGGCUGCUCAGCAGCAACAGCAGCAGCAGCAAAUGGUUGCUGCUCAGUGGGGCCAACAUCUGGCUGCACAGGCUGUCGCCUCACCAGCGCCGUUCAGUGUACAGGUUCCACCGCCGCCGCCUCCACCACCGCCAGCGCAGCAGGCCGUCGCCUCGCCUGCACCGCCGCCGCCGGCGCCGGUACCCAUCC